GACGAACGCUCGCGGCGUGCUUAACACAUGCAAGUCGAACGGAAAGGCCCUGCUUUUGUGGGGUGCUCGAGUGGCGAACGGGUGAGUAACACGUGAGUAACCUGCCCUUGACUUUGGGAUAACUUCAGGAAACUGGGGCUAAUACCGGAUAGGUGCUCAUGCUGCAGGGUGGGGGUUGGAACGUUUCGGCGGUUGGGGAUGGACUCGCGGCUUAUCAGCUUGUUGGUGGGGUAGUGGCUUACCAAGGCUUUGACGGGUAGCCGGCCUGGGAGGGUGACCGGCGACAUUGGGACUGAGCAACGGCCCAGACUCCUACGGGAGGCAGAAGGGGGGAAUAUUGCACAAUGGGCGGAAGCCUGAUGCAGCCACGCCGCGUGCGCGAUGAAGGCAUUCGGGUUGUAAACCGCUUUCGCCUGUGACGAAGCGGUAGUGACGGUAAUGGGUAAAGAAGCACCGGCUAAGUACGUG
Molecule: ribosomal RNA, 468 nt
Filed under: uncultured bacterium
Lineage: Bacteria
Description: partial 16S ribosomal RNA
Rfam family: Bacterial small subunit ribosomal RNA
Source: RNAcentral